UACGAAGGGGGGCUAGCGUUGCUCGGAAUGACUGGGCGUAAAGGGCGCGUAGGCGGAUGGCUUUGUCGGGCGUGAAAUUCCAGGGCUUAACCUUGGGGCUGCGUUCGAGACGGGUGAUCUUGAGUGGGGAAGAGGGUCGUGGAAUUCCCAGUGUAGAGGUGAAAUUCGUAGAUAUUGGGAAGAACACCGGUGGCGAAGGCGGCGACCUGGUCCUUACUGACGCUGAGGCGCGAAAGCGUGGGGGAGCAAACAGG
This 254-nucleotide ribosomal RNA is filed under the name uncultured bacterium. RNAcentral's name for it is "partial 16S ribosomal RNA". It matches the Rfam family "Bacterial small subunit ribosomal RNA", at positions 524 to 776 of the family's 1533-position model. The record is from RNAcentral.